ACCCAGCUGACGAGCCCCUGGUAGGACGAAACGCGCGUCCUGGAU
RNAcentral lists this non-coding RNA (45 nucleotides) under Schistosoma margrebowiei. The record is from RNAcentral. Lineage: Eukaryota; Metazoa; Platyhelminthes; Trematoda; Strigeidida; Schistosomatidae.